Long non-coding RNA from Mesocricetus auratus (golden hamster), 4327 nucleotides. RefSeq lists it as uncharacterized. The record is from RefSeq and is a predicted model, not a curated record. The transcript is spliced from 4 exons. NCBI's taxonomy places the organism in Eukaryota, Metazoa, Chordata, Mammalia, Rodentia, Cricetidae.
UGCACCAGUGAAUUUGUCCCCCUCUCCCUGUGACCAGCUGUUCAGUCCACAGGGCUAUCCACCUUUCUGCGUGAUGCUGGUGAUUUUAGCCUUAUUGUGUCGUGGAUAUGCUCCUGGGUCUGUCGGCUGCCCUGCUCUAGUGAUCACAGCCAUGGUGUCGGAGAAGCCGGAGGGGACAGAUGUGCUGGGCGCAGUGAAGACACGUGUAUCUGGGGUCUCUCUAAGGGACAUUCCUGCAUCUAGUUCAUGCUUUACUGGCCCCAGGCACCAGGGACAGGACGGAAGGAGGACUGACUGUUAACUCUGUACCCCUGUGGUUUACUGUGAGCAAGUUGCUGAAUUCUCCUAGCCCUGGCUUUGCCUGCCUACAAAUCCACGGCCUGAUUGAGAAGGUGAAAUGCCACACCCAGGUGCAAGAAGCCUAUUUAGAGCCUGAGGCGUCUGGAUGGCCCUUCUAGAAACCUGAUUACUCUGUUUAUGAUGACUAAGACAGCCAAGGAGAAGCCACGGCUCUGUCAAAUAGCUCAGCCCAAAAUGUGUUCCUGGAAAGACGUAAGUAAAUGACUCAGAAAGCAAAGGCCCCGGUAUAGCCUGCAUAAGACAUGAUUGCAAGGACAAAUGCAUCAUAGCCCCCCUGGGCUCUCCGAGGGAGACUGUCAGUCUGAGUUUUUUUUUCAAUAAGCAUGGAUUUUGUAAAGAGAAAUGUAUACCACACAGGAGAAGCUUCUGGAAACUCGCUGGAGCCUGGCAAAGUCUCCUUUGGUGAGAGUAGCCACCCUCGGAUGAGCUGGAUGCCUCCUCUGGAGGCAUCUAUAAGCUGGGGCAGAAGUCGAUGUCUGCUCUGAAGGGCUGCCCCCAGCCUUCACGGAGCCUAUGAGACAGUCUCCGUGGCAACUCGGCUUCUCUUCUACUGCUCCCAGUUUUGCAUUUCUGGUUUCCCAAAGAGAGGUUCGCUUUCCUUUGAUUCUGGUUGGCAGGACGAGCUAACCGGCCACCAGCACCGGACAGAAUGCACUGGCAAUGUAGGAACUGGAGGGAGUCCUUGAUCCCUCAGAUAUCCCUGGGGAGGUCCAUGUGACCAGCAAGACAUCGUGACACUCAAAAUGAUAAAAACAACCAAAUGAUGCUCUCCCCUCCUGCUGGGGUCUACAGAAAGAACCCCAGAGGCCGAGCUCAUCCUGGGAGACGCUGCAGGGCAGAAGAACCGGAUACCCCACAUUCUAGAAACUUUACAUUAUCCCCUGGCUGCCCAAGGCUGGGGGAGUCCCUGCACCCCUAAGGUUGCCUCAGCCACUCCUCCCAGGGAGUUUGUGGGCUGGGGCAUAGGGAGAAGGAAGAGAAAUUCACCAAGAAGAAUCCCUGCAAGGAGGAGCCCCCGAGAACCUGGAACCUCACCCUGACUAAACCAGUGUGGCUCAGUAGUGUGUGUGGGGGGGGGAGUCUCCCACACCCAGAGCCUUAAACCACCUCCGUUUUCCAGCAUUGUAACCUCAGGAAGGGCACCAAGUCUCUCUUGGUCCUAGCUCCUCAACUGUACAAUAAAGUAAUAACAGUGCCUACCUGUAGGGCUGUCUGGGGGACUAAAUGAACUAGUAUGAUGCAGAAAGGCUAAGAACACAUUAAGAACAAGAGAAAUGUCAGCUGUAGUUUAUAGCAUCUGGAGUCUCCAUCUCCCGCUAGCUGCCGUAGAGAAAGUCUAAUGUUUUACAAACUCCUCGCCUCUAGCCAGUCAGGCGGAGUAGUACUCAGAGAUUUUUUGUUUUGUUUUGUUUUUGAUUAACACAAAAGGUCAAAACCAUUAUUGAUGCACAUCACCACAAGGCUCAUGUUUGCCUGGCGUGUAUAUAAUUUAGAGUGCUUCCUGGGAACCUCUAGUCAUCUAAAGAGAAGCAGAUACAACAAGGCACAUCAACCCAAGGAGAACCCUGAUAUGGGAACCGGCAGAGUCACAGCUAGCACGAAGUGGUUUUCAAACCAUUCUGGGUAGCCAAAGUGGGAAGAAGGACUCAUUGUCCUGUAACAACCACUGUUAGAGCCGGCGUUGGUGGCGCACGCCUUUAAUCCCAGCACUCGGGAGGCAGAGGCAGGCGGAUCUCUGUGAGUUUGAGACCAGAGCAGGUUCCAGGACAGGCUCUGAAACAACACAGAGAAAGCCUGCCUCAAAAAACAAACAAAAACAACAACAACAAAAAGAAAAACCACUGUUAGCUCUGUACCGGACAGUAUGCAAAGCUCUGCCACACACACCGUCCGUGUACGUGACGGACACCCUGUGGUCCAUCCCAAGCCUCCCUGUCCCUCAGCCUUGGACACUGGGCUAGAAGGGUCCAAGAUGUAAGGCAUAACACAAAUAAGUUACAGGCCACGGGAACACUUAGCAGUUUUCCCUACUUCUCAAAGUCAUCAUCUGGAGAAUCACUGUCCUAUUCAAGGAGAAAGAGGAUGGCCCGCCUGUGGCCCACAGCUGUCAGCUCCAGAAGUAAGACCUGAAUUUAGAUCUCUUGACUGCUCAGCGGCCCCCACCGGAGAGUAGGAAGGAUGCCUGGGACAGACUGGGAACUGUCCUGCUCAUGUCUCUCACAGCCUCUUCUAAGUUUGCCCACAAGGGGCUCAAACGAGACCAGUUCUUCAUCUUAUACACCAACCUCAAGGUGGGGUCAAUGUGCCAGCUCUGACACCAAUUACCUGCCACCCAACCCAGCCUCCGCCAGCCUGGUCGGUCUCCUUCUUUUCGGUACCCGGAGGGAGGGCCCCAGCACAUGGCGCAGAGGUGACUCGGUGGCCCAUACUGCCUGGGAACAGUGAGGAGCAAGACUCAGAGUACCAGACCACAUAAGCGGUGACUCGACUUUAAAAAGGGACAGACCUAAUGGAAACCAUGUGUUGCUCUCCUGGGACUGACCCAAGGCUACCUUGAUCCAGGCGUGGCUCUGAGACAUGAAAGCGAGUGACAGAAACCACAAAGUUAAUUUUCACUGAAGCGUGAAUUCUUCCUAAAGGACUUCUGCUCAGCAUCAUGGAUAAAUAGAAAUCUGGGCCAGGUGGGCCUGGUGUUUGGCUAUGACUGUCACUCACUCCUGACCUAGAAGCUGUUCCACACAGCUUGCCUUUCUGAUGUUUUGUACAGAUGCACCCGACACAUGGAGAGACAGCACAUGGAGGCCUCCCAGCAGAGCUCGUGAGGAGAGAGAAGGAGGCCACAGCUGUCCUCAGAUUAGACAAGCAGAGGCAAUGGCUCAGAUGCCCACCAGACGCCCUCUGAGAGGGCUUGGCCACGUGCAUUUGUUUUUCAGCUUCGAUGACGCGUAGAAGGCAGUAACAGAAAAGCAUCUGACGCCAAGGAGAGAAAGAGGCGCUACCACUAUGGAAAAGGGAAGACACACCCUUAGGGCUUGAAGUACUGAAGUGCACGUUGCAGAGAAAGUGGACAAAGGCCAGUGCUGGUCCCCAAGAUGCCCCAGCGAGAAAAUGCUGUGGUGAUGACCCAAGCUCCGUCCUGGGAACCCACACCAAAUGCUGCAUGUGGCAGGCUACGUCUGCGCCCCAGAGCUCCGCACGCAAAAGGGGAGUGGAGAACGGCUCUGGAGCUCGCAGGACAGGACAGCUGCCUUGGAGUCCACAGCAGCAGAAGCAACAGAGACCCCACUCACCAGGUGCUGCUUGACAUCCGCCAGUCUGUCUUGACAACCCUGUAUCCGUCUUACGUGGCUACCCAGACUUGAAGUCCGAUUCCCUCGUCUCCUCUCAGUAGACUUUGGACCCAUCCCUCCCUCUGACCUCGAGCUCUUCCUCUCCUCAGAGAAAUCCCACUCACUUCUUGCUCUAUGGUGUAGUGCGUUCCAACGCCUCAGAAAAUGGUAUGCGAGACAAGACCUCCAGCCCCUGCUGGCUUCGCUGCUGUCACUGUGUACACACUACAAAUGGGCAGAUGUGUCUCACUCAAGUCACAGAGGCACAUCUGGAUGACACGAGCUGAGCAGCAGUGAAAAAUGCCCUGUGCUGUGACUCCCGCUUAAGGAGGAGCUGUAUUAUGCUCUGGGGCAGGAUGGGCAAGGGCUGCUGUGACCGCUGGCUGUGACUGAGUCUCUCCUUUGUCACUCUACCUAGGUGAUCUGCUCAUAUGUCUGGUCCUAAUUUUUUCUUACCUGUGAAAAGAAGGUAAUGACAGUAUCUACCUUUCGAGAACAUGGGGGAGCAUGCCUACAACCCCAGAAUUCAGGAAGGCAGAGGCUAGCCUCAGCUACAAAAUGGUCCAAGAUCAGCCCCAGCUGAAUGAGACCCAGUCUCAAAAUGCAAUAAAUCAACAAUAAAAACCAACCCCCUUCCA